UUCGCAAUGCCCGAAAGGGUGACGAAGCGACGCCGCGUAGGUGAGGAAGGCCUUCGGGUUGUAAAGCCCUGUCAGGAGUUAAGAAAUGUAGACUCGCUAAUAUCGGGUCUAUUUGACAAAGGCUCCAAAGGAAGCCACGGCUAACUCUGUGCCAGCAGCCGCGGUAAUACAGAGGUGGCAAGCGUUGUUCGGAAUUAUUGGGCGUAAAGAGCACGUAGGUGGAUUUGUAAGUCAGACGUGAAAGCCUUCUGUUCAACGGAAGAAUUGCAUCUGAAACUACAAACCUUGAGUGUAGGAGGGGAGAAUGGAACUUCUGGUGGAGCGGUGAAAUGCGUAGAUAUCAGAAGGAACGCCGGCGGCGAAAGCGAUUCUCUGGCCUAUUACUGACACUCAGUGUGCGAAAGCUAGGGGAGCAAACGGGAUUAGAUACCCCGGUAGUCCUAGCCGUAAACGAUGGGCACUAAGUAGAGGGGUUUU
This 477-nucleotide ribosomal RNA is filed under the name Candidatus Scalindua brodae. RNAcentral describes it as "bacterial SSU rRNA". It matches the Rfam family "Bacterial small subunit ribosomal RNA", at positions 365 to 832 of the family's 1533-position model. Lineage: Bacteria; Pseudomonadati; Planctomycetota; Candidatus Brocadiia; Candidatus Brocadiales; Candidatus Scalinduaceae. The record is from RNAcentral.